AAAGUGGCUAAAUUAAUUUACUUAUUGCUUCCUGGGCAUAGUAAUUUGUUACUUUACUUUUACAUUACUUUGCAUUACGCACCCCAAAACUUUGCACACAAUAGGCUAAACCAGGCACACACCUAGUGUCACACCACAGGGGGCAGAUUUUUCUUUUAUAAAACGAAAUGGAAUACCUGGUAUCAUAAAUGAAUAAAUGUUCUCAGUUCGGAGAAUAGGGUUGACAAUUCUCUUGAUAUCAUUCUAAGAAAUUCCGGGGCAAGUUAGUUAGUUUUAGCAGUCACAACCAUAAUUUGGAUUCCUUCUGUUUGACUGGAAGGAGGGAGUAUACUCCAGGGUAGCGUGACUGCGAAAGGUGUGUCAAGGUGGGGCACUUAGAGACAGUUAUAUAAGACAGAGCUGGAGAGGCCAGAGAGACACUCAACUUCUUAAAUAUCGAAGACCAGAAGACAUAAUCAAGACAACCAGGCUUCAAUCCAUCAGCAUAUUUCUUCUCUUCGAUUAAAGGAUGAAGAUCCAGAGUGUGAUACUGCUGUUCUCUCUAGUGGGUGUGCUGUUAGCAAGCUCGCUAAAAAAAGCUACAUCGGAGCAAGCACUACUGCAAGAGGACAAUUGGAAAUGUGACAAUCAAAAUUGUGGCAUACCUAAAGAGGCUGUGGCCAGGUUAGCUGCUGCUCUGAAAACUGUCAAGGAGGCUGCAGAUGAAGCACCAAUUGAUUGGGGUUUUUGGGCC
Molecule: long non-coding RNA, 733 nt
Organism: Esox lucius (northern pike)
Lineage: Eukaryota; Metazoa; Chordata; Actinopteri; Esociformes; Esocidae
Exons: 4
Source: RefSeq, a predicted model, not a curated record